UUGGGCUUAGUGUUCGAGUCAGUAAUCUCUCAACCUGAAGGUCGAGGGUUUGAUCCCCAGCUCCUGCAGUCUCAUGUUGAAGUGUCCAUGGGCAAGACAAUGAACCCCAAUUUGCUCCUGCUGCUGUGUCGGCGGCGUGUGAAUGGGAUUAGUUAAUACUGAUGGACAUUUUACACAGCGGCCUCUGCUGUCAGUGUGUAAAUGUGGUGUGAAUGGGUGAAUGUGACCUGCAUUGUAAAAAGUGUUUCGAGUCGUCUCAAGACUAAGAAAGUCCAUUUACCAUUUACCAACAGGUAAAACUUGAAAUGUGUAGCAGCAACUCAGGAAGAUUUUAGGGUCAGGCUCUCUUGAAACUUUGUAGAAAUGUAGGAAUAGUGUUUGUGUACAAUCCUCUCACAUAGUAAAAAAUAGGAAACAGUAGCUCAAAACUCACUGGUUUAAAUGAUUCUAUUCUGAAACCAAACUACUGCAUUGUGCUGAGUGACGCAGAGGCUGACAGAGUAAAUCAUACACACAAGAGCCAGAAGUGUUUUUUUACUGACAGUCACUUCAUCAUUAUUCACAGGAUAAGCCUUUGUCUGCUUUGUUUUAGUGACCAUGUUAAAUCAGCUCAAAACAGAUGGGUGCUGUCUCCUUGCCAAGCCUUUUCUUUUCGGGAGCUAUGUGUGUGUUCUGUGUGCGUGUGCGUGUGUAGGUAAGCAGACAGGGUUUAUUCAUGUUGCUGAUCUCCUUCUACAUUUGUGUGUGUGGCUAAUUACAGCUAAGAAGUAUGCACGAAAACCUGCCCUUCCUCUUUGGCUGUCUAACUGUCCAGCUGUCGAAUGUGCAGACCCAUGUGUGUGAGUGUAUUUGCGUGUAUACGUGUGUCCUCUGGUUUGCAGAUGUCCUCGGGUUGUUGUCCUGCCAGUAACGAGAGGGGUUUUCGGGAAACAAAGUGGAGGGGAGGACAGCCGGGGACCGGAGAGUCCAUAAGGUGCAAUCCACAGGGAAGUUUGUGUAUGCGUGUUCCAAACCUGAUCUUGGAUGAUGUCAUGUGCAGCUGCUGCGUGGCUGACAGACAGUUUCCGCACCACAACAUGGGGCCCUAUGGUCGGCCUGUCAGGCUGACGGACAGGUGAAUGACACCAAUGAGAGCCAGCCGUCCCUCCCCCUAGGAGCCAGGCACUGAGUGACAGCAAGUAAGAAGCCAGAAAAGGCGUCUCUGAACCUGAAAGUAAUCUCUUUAACUCUCUCUUUCUGUUAUUCUGCUCGGCUCUUCGCUCUUUCUCCUUUUUCUUGGCCUCUCUUUCCUCUUCCUCCCUCUGGCUCUCCCUCUUCUUCCCAGCCUCUUUUUUUUUUUAAAACUAUCCCUCUCUUUUUCUGUCUUUCUCUGUGGGCAUUUUUCUCGUCCACUGAAGGCCUCUGUCUUUCUUCACUGUCUCUCCUCCUCCCCUCACUUUCUGCCUUUCACUCCGUCUGUUAACGCUCUGUGCUGUUUUCUAUCAUCGUGUCACAGACUCUUAAGGAACAGCUUGACUGCCUCUUGGUUCUGUUUCAGUCAAAACUGUGGUGAAAAGUGUUUAAACCCGAGUCUACAGCGCUGUGCGGGGUUCAGCUGCACGGCAGGAAAAGGUUGGAGAUCGCUUUGAGCUCUCUGUGUGGGUGUCUGAGAUGACCUUAGACCUCCUCUGACCCGCCGACCAGCAGAGAAACCGGCUGUCCAACUGGGAGCAAAGAGAAGGCCUGGAGCCUCCUCCCAUGACUCCCCGCCUCUACUUAGGAGCUCCUCCUCCUCCACAAGCAGAGGAGAAGUGUGUUAGAGCGCCGCCUGGUGGACGGCACCCUUUAUUAAUGUGCAUAAUGCUGUUCAAAGACGUUAUUCUGUAAGGAAUGCCAUCAAAAAGUAAAAUAAAUCAUAAACAAAAAGUGAUGUGGAAAUUGCAGAUUCCAAAAGAAAUAACAGAAUAAUGACAAAAAAAGUCAAGAUUAAGAAAGAGAAAUAGAACAGAGGCUCUUAAAAACAAAUCUAUAAACUUUGGAUUCAAUCAUCCAAACGUAGACUGCCAUCUAGUGGACUUAAAUGUUAACUGUGACAGAAGUUUAAGAGGAAAAAAGUUCAUUUUUUUUCUAAUUAAGUGAUACUCAUCAGCAUGUAAUGAUGUAUUGUAAAGAUGACAAUGUGAUUAAACAGAGCUUUAGUAAACUA
Long non-coding RNA from Labrus mixtus (cuckoo wrasse), 2185 nucleotides. RefSeq lists it as uncharacterized. The transcript has 4 exons. Lineage: Eukaryota; Metazoa; Chordata; Actinopteri; Labriformes; Labridae. The record is from RefSeq and is a predicted model, not a curated record.